Molecule: long non-coding RNA, 2843 nt
Organism: Gasterosteus aculeatus aculeatus (three-spined stickleback)
Lineage: Eukaryota; Metazoa; Chordata; Actinopteri; Perciformes; Gasterosteidae
Source: Ensembl
AAUACAACUGUGGGUGAUGAUCAGUUACUUUGGUAAUUUACCCACUGCAAAAUAAUUUGUAUUUGUUAAAUGUAUUUAUUUUUUUAUUAAUUAUGAGCAUAAUAUGGAUACAUAUAAAAUUAACAUUAGAGCCCAUAUCUUUGAGUCCUAUAUUUGAAGCUGCAUAUAUUGCGAGAAGGGUCUGGUGCAAACAGUUAUUUUCAGGUACAGUACAAUUAUCACCUUGUGUUAUUUCAUUGGGUUGUUUUUUGUUUUGUUUUUUUCAGUGACCGUUGAGUGACCAAGUUACUUUGAGACCAUUUUACAAGUCCUACAGUGCGAAAUUGUUUUAAUAUGUGGCUGGUCUCCUUACCUUAAAAGGGAGCUGAAUUUUUUUUUUAUUGUUUUAUAAACUCAUAGAAACAAACACUUGUUAAAUAUGUCAACCUCCCCUCUAUCGUUGCAGUACAACCACUAACCGCUAGAUGGAGUCAUUGCUCUCAGUCGGAACCCACAGAGUUUGGGCUUGAAUAUACUGCAUUUGGAAGUUUCAUCUCUGCGAUGUUUUUGUCAUCGAUUAUUCCGAUAUUUGGACUUGAUGAGCAGCUACACAUAGAAGUAAAAAAAACAACAAAAAACCUUUCGAGUGCUUGCUCGAGAGAGACCCACACCAAAGCACACCACAAUCCUCUCUACUACAAUACAAAGUAGCCAGCAAUAACCACCAUCUUUCCUGAUCGCUCUUAUUUCCCCACAUUGAGGCCCGCAGCCACGGACCGACCCGCUGACCUCUGAGCGCCCUCAGUCUUCCGUGCGAGGACGGCGAAAGCACACCUGAUGAAGUCCACGCACUAACUGAAGGCCGAGUACACCUGACGCCCCGCUUCUCCCCUCUCUAAGCGUCACAGUUCGCAGGUUGUAAAUGCAGUUUGUGACCGCGGGUCUUUGUGGUAGACGGAGGAAGGUAAAAAAAAAAAAACCGUGCCAUUUGAAUGUCCACUGACCAUCUCUGUUAACUGCGGGGGGGCUUCAGACCCUUCGACCCCUCACUGUACCCACCGGAAAAACGUUGUUUAUCUGCAGCUGCUACAAGUCAUGCAAUAAAAAAAAAGCUGUACCAUUAAACUGCGGCUGGAGUCGUUCUGGUUGAAUGGAAGCUGUGCGUGUGGAAAGUGUUGCAGGGAAAUAAAAGGGGACGGGGAGGCGGGGGAGUGGGAGGGGCUUCUUCACCCGGAGCGGCAGCAGCGGCAGCGCGCGGACCUCAGCACGCGCUCCUUGUCUGUACCUACCGGUGCUUUUUAUGCAGAUUCGUUUUUUUUGUUUUUGUUUUUCCACGGGACGUUUAAUCUCUCAGGUUCCCCUUUCUUGAACCCUGCUGUGAGGGAAAUGAGUCACCGUCGCUAAGGAAGUGAGACGGCGUGCGGUCGCGUGUAAGUCACAGGGUGCGCUCGGCCUUCGCUCAGCAGACCUCUCAAGGCGCUCGGAAACCCGUGAGCGCGGUUUUUUUUUUUUGGGCGUUGGAGCUUCUGCAGAAAGGCGUUCAAACGUGGAGAAAUCCAGAGAGAGGAAAGCUCAACGGCACAGAGUGGAGUGGGAGGAAUACAAUUGUACCGUUUGCUUAAAAUAUUCGGAAACUUCCUGUUACCAAAACGUGGCGCAAUCUGCUGUAGAAUAACUGACAGUCGGACGCAUACACAAACACACACACGCGCACACACGCACAGACUGACUUCCGCAACAGGUUUGCAGAGGCUGCUUAGACAUGUUGCAUUUUCUCUCCUUUUUCCUUUGUUGAGAGGACAGUAAUCCAGAGCUCAUCUUGAGGGGAAAUCGAGCGAGGCGUGUACUGAAUGUACAGACAAGCUUCUAUUGAUUUGUAGCAGUGAAUGAAGAUCCACCGACCCGAUCUAACAGGAACAAAACGGUUCCUCAAUGCGAGCCGGUUGCCGGGUGAUGCUGCGGUUCCCUGUUACACUGUGAGCUGUGAUUUGUGAGGCUUCCAUCUUUUCAACCUGUUGUCGAAUCAGCGUGACCACAUGAAUAUAUCCUUCAAACACAUAUUGCAGAGCCUUCUGUCUGCUUCUCCUUGCCAUCUCUCUUUUUUCCUUCAUUUUUUUUUUUUUUUUCAAAUACUUGAUCAUUUAUAUUCAGUUACUGCAGUAAAUGUGGUCUCCAUGGUAGCUCCGACAGAUUCGAUGGUGAUGGGGGAGGGGGGCUUAACUCAGGGUAAUGCAGGUAGGCAGAAAUCUGUUCUCCAUCAAGCUGGCCAAACAGUUAUUUCCUUUCCCUUCUCUGUUGCUUGAUUUGGUUAAGAUGGUUUCUGUUGGUCCCACGUUGUUCAGCAGCAGAUUCUAAAACAAAAAUGGACAACUAACAAGAGUUAUAAACAACUAGGUGGAUGGAAAGCUUUCCCAAAUACAGCAGGAAACCGAUGUCGUAGGAAUUAAAGGAUAUUCUAUACCCGUCUUAUAUGAGCACUGUAGUUGAACUAACAUGCACUGUCUCACAUGGCUGGAAAUGAUACGAAAUGGACUUUUUAACUUUUCAGCUGUGUGAGUAACAUUCAAUAAUAUGAUUUUGUUGUUACAUUAAUGUAUUCAGGAAGAACAAAUAAUGAGCCAAGUGAGAAAGACUUUGGGGAUUGUCAUUGGAUAACUUAAGACGAAACAAAUACUCAAUCUAAUUCCAUCUAUAUCAUUUUAAAAGUACUAAGACGAGACGGCCACUCCCAGAGCUUUCAACAGGCCUUUUUUUGUAGUGUAAUCGCCUGUUUUGUCAGCUUACUUUAGAGUCAACAAUAAUGAUCUGUUGAAUCUGCGAAUACAAUGGUCUGAUCCUCGCUGGGCUCACAUCCUCCUCACGCG